UACGAAGGGUGCAAACGUUGCUCGGAAUCAUUGGGCGUAAAGCGCACGUAGGCGGCUCCAAAAGUCGGAUGUGAAAUCCCUGGGCUCAACCGAGGAAGUGCAUCCGAAACUGCGGAGCUUGAGUAUGGAAGAGGGUCGCGGAAUUCCCGGUGUAGAGGUGAAAUUCGUAGAUAUCGGGAGGAACACCAGUGGCGAAGGCGGCGACCUGGGCCAAUACUGACGCUGAGGUGCGAAAGCGUGGGUAGCGAACAGG
This 253-nucleotide ribosomal RNA is filed under the name uncultured bacterium. RNAcentral describes it as "partial 16S ribosomal RNA". It matches the Rfam family "Bacterial small subunit ribosomal RNA", at positions 524 to 776 of the family's 1533-position model. The record is from RNAcentral.